Molecule: long non-coding RNA, 558 nt
Filed under: Mus musculus (house mouse)
Lineage: Eukaryota; Metazoa; Chordata; Mammalia; Rodentia; Muridae
Description: metastasis associated lung adenocarcinoma transcript 1 (non-coding RNA)
Source: RNAcentral
AGGCAUUCAGGCAGCGAGAGCAGAGCAGCGUAGAGCAGCACAGCUGAGCUCGUGAGGCAGGAGACUCAGCCCGAGGAAAUCGCAGAUAAGUUUUUAAUUAAAAAGAUUGAGCAGUAAAAAGAAUUAGAACUCUAAACUUAAGCUAAUAGAGUAGCUUAUCGAAAUAUUACUUAGUCUUAAUAAUCUAAGAAGAUCUUAAGAGAUAACAUGAAGGCUUAUUUAAACAGUUUGAAAAAGGAAAUGAGGAGAAAAGUAUUUGUACUGUAUAAUGGAGGCGGAUUUCUGAGUUCGAGGCCAGCCUGGUCUACAGAGUGAGUUCCAGGACAGCCAGGGCUACACAGAGAAACCCUGUCUUGAAAAAACAAAAAGGUUAGGCUAGUAUUUGGAGAAAGAAGAUUAGAAAAUGGAAGUGAAAGACGAAGAAGACAUACAGGAAGGUGAAGAAAAAGCUGUUAGAGAAGAUAGGAAAAUAGAAGACAAAGCAUCUUUAGAAGACAGAAAAGGUACUUAAAGGCACAGGUAGUAGGAAGCCGAAGAAUAGAAGAUAGAAAGAAGCAA